This is a microRNA precursor of Gadus morhua (Atlantic cod), 61 nucleotides long. Lineage: Eukaryota; Metazoa; Chordata; Actinopteri; Gadiformes; Gadidae. The record is from Ensembl.
CAGCCGCUCCCUGCCUACGACGUCUGCAACACAUGAGGGCGGACGUUGUAGGGAGCGGCCA